RNAcentral lists this long non-coding RNA (722 nucleotides) under Homo sapiens (human). Its description in RNAcentral is "HSALNT0373059". The record is from RNAcentral. Lineage: Eukaryota; Metazoa; Chordata; Mammalia; Primates; Hominidae.
GAGUUGCAGUUUACAAUAGGGCUCAUGCUCCUUUGAGAAUCUAAUGCCACUGCUGAUCAGACAGGAGGCGGAGCUCAGGCAGUAAUGUUCACUUGCCCUCUGCUCACUCCACCUGUUUGGCCUGGUUCCUAACAGGCACGGACCAGUAUGCGGCCCAGGCGUUGAGGAACCCCUGAUUUAAAGUACACAGAAGGAUGGAGGUUAGAAAUUCAAUAAGCUGCUUAUGAUGAUGGAGGCCAUGUUUCUCCAGCCAGCUACUCUGAUAUAUGGACAGUGCCUAGCACAAUGCCUGACAAAGAUGGUAUCCCACAAAAUAUGUUGGAGGCUUCAUGAACAUACAUUGAGAUUGACUGCAGAAUAUCUUGAUAUGUUGUCAACACUGAACUGAUUCUGAAACUGCAUGCUUCAUCCAUGAUAGAGAUUUGAAUAAAAAUCAGAAAAACAAGCUUUGGCAAUCAACAGCUUAAUAGAGUUCAUUUACUUGCAUAAUUCACUUUCACAGCAAAACACUUGGAAAGAUGUCAGGAAAUUUAAUUAGCAAUACUUUAUUAUAUAUCUGAGUUUCAGAUAGAUGGUACAAGUGUAUCACAUUAACAACAAAGACCAAGUGACCCAAAGGGAGUGUUCCUCCAACUAAAAUGAGAUAUUCUACAUAUUUUCUAUUUUGUGAUUUAUUAAAUGCAAUGACAUCUGCCCUAACUAGAAUCAGAAAAGAAGAAGGG